Molecule: ribosomal RNA, 1380 nt
Filed under: uncultured prokaryote
Description: partial 16S ribosomal RNA
Rfam family: Bacterial small subunit ribosomal RNA
Source: RNAcentral
AGAGAGUAACUUGUUACUUUGCUGUCGAGCGGCGGACGGGUGAGUAAUGCUUGGGAAACUGCCCAGUCGAGGGGGACAACCAUUGGAAACGAUGGCUAAUACCGCAUACGCCACUCCUGUUAAAGGGAUGGCUCUUCGGACCUCUCGCUUCUUGAUUAGCCCAAGUUAGAUUAGCUAGUUGGUGAGGUAAAGGCUCACCAAGGCAACGAUCUAUAGCUGGUUUGAGAGGAUGAUCAGCCACACUGGAACUGAGACACGGUCCAGACUCCUACGGGAGGCAGCAGUGGGGAAUAUUGCACAAUGGGGGGAACCCUGAUGCAGCCAUGCCGCGUGUGUGAAGAAGGCCUUCGGGUUGUAAAGCACUUUCAGUUGUGAGGAAAGGAAGUUGGUUAAUACCCAGUUUCUGUGACGUUAGCAACAGAAGAAGCACCGGCUAACUCCGUGCCAGCAGCCGCGGUAAUACGGAGGGUGCGAGCGUUAAUCGGAAUUACUGGGCGUAAUGCGCACGCAGGCGGUUUGUUAAGCUAGAUGUGAAAGCCCUGGGCUCAACCUAGGAAUAGCAUUUAGAACUGGCAGGCUAGAGUCUUGGAGAGGGGAGUGGAAUUCCAGGUGUAGCGGUGAAAUGCGUAGAUAUCUGGAGGAACAUCAGUGGCGAAGGCGACUCCCUGGCCAAAGACUGACGCUCAUGUGCGAAAGUGUGGGUAGCGAACAGGAUUAGAUACCCUGGUAGUCCACACCGAUGCCGUAAACGAUGUCAACUAGCCGUUGGAAGACUUGAUCUUUUAGUGGCGCAGCUAACGCAAUAAGUUGACCGCCUGGGGAGUACGGCCGCAAGGUUAAAACUCAAAUGAAUUGACGGGGGCCCGCACAAGCGGUGGAGCAUGUGGUUUAAUUCGACGCAACGCGAAGAACCUUACCUACUCUUGACAUCCUCAGAACUUAGCAGAGAUGCUUUGGUGCCUUCGGGCACUCUGGGACAGGUGCUGCAUGGCUGUCGUCAGCUCGUGUUGUGAAAUGUUGGGAUAAGUCCCGUAACGAGCGCAACCCUUGUCCUUAUUUGCCAGCACGUAAUGGUGGGAACUCUAAGGAGACUGCCGGUGAUAAACCGGAGGAAGGUGGGGACGACGUCAAGUCAUCAUGGCCCUUACGAGUAGGGCUACACACGUGCUACAAUGGUUGGUACAGAGGGCAGCGACCUUGCGAGAGUGAGCGAAUCCCAGAAAGCCAAUCGUAGUCCGGAUCGGAGUCUGCAACUCGACUCCGUGAAGUCGGAAUCGCUAGUAAUCGUGGAUCAGAAUGCCACGGUGAAUACGUUCCCGGGCCUUGUACACACCGCCCGUCACACCAUGGGAGUGGAUUGCACCAGAAGUAGAUAGCUUA